GUGGAUAUGGACUAUCAAUUAUAACAUGGGGCACACACCAUGUUCUCGAUCCAAUCCACGCACACGAGUUGCCUGAGUAGCGACAGGUAUACCGAUGUGCAAUACGUAUCCGGCCACGGCACGGAACGAACGGGAACUGUGGUGCAGACAUACAAAGAGUUAAGCCUAUUAGUCAUUAACUCUAAGGACGGGGCCAUGGGGCGGUACGCAAAGGAUACGGAUGAGCGAGUAUGCAGGCCCAAUACUCAAUAGCUCGAUCCGAUCCAAGCACAUGAGUUGACUGCGGCGCCAGGUUAACCAAUGUGCUAGAUUCUAUUUGGCCAGUAGAAUCUUGUGUCUUAUGCGAUUUGAUACCAAGACACCAGAACGAAAGUUAGUUGAAGAGUUAUUAAACUCUUAUGAAG
Molecule: long non-coding RNA, 404 nt
Organism: Anopheles funestus (African malaria mosquito)
Lineage: Eukaryota; Metazoa; Arthropoda; Insecta; Diptera; Culicidae
Exons: 3
Source: RefSeq, a predicted model, not a curated record